Molecule: ribosomal RNA, 492 nt
Filed under: uncultured bacterium
Lineage: Bacteria
Description: partial 16S ribosomal RNA
Rfam family: Bacterial small subunit ribosomal RNA
Source: RNAcentral
AGUGAACGCUGGCGGUAGGCCUAACACAUGCAAGUCGAACGGCAGCACAGUAAGAGCUCUCUCUUACGGGUGGCGAGUGACGGACGAGUGAGGCGUGCAUCACCUUCUACUUUUUCUUGGGGGACAACGUAGGGAAACUGCCGCUACUACCGCAUACGACCUACCGCUGGAAUCAGUGGUUCUUCGGACUUUUCCUGUUUCAUUGAGCCGGUUCCGGUUUACCUAGUUGGCUGGGUAAAGGCCCACCAAGGCAACGAUCCGUAGCUGGUCUGAGAGGAUGAUCAGCCACACUGGAACUGAGACACGGUCCAGACUCCUACGGGAGGCAGCAGUGGGGAAUAUUGGGCAAUGGGCGAAAGCCUGAUGCAGCAACACCGCGUGAGUGAAGAAGGCCUUCGGAUUGUAAAGCCCUGUUAUUGGGAAAGAAAAGCAGCAGGUGAAUCCACCGAUGUUCUGACGGUACCCAAAGAAUAAGCAACGGCUAACUUCGUG